This 28-nucleotide non-coding RNA is filed under the name Mus musculus (house mouse). Lineage: Eukaryota; Metazoa; Chordata; Mammalia; Rodentia; Muridae. The record is from RNAcentral.
AACUUUACUGUGGGAUGCCCGACUCGCC